Molecule: non-coding RNA, 1291 nt
Organism: Camellia sinensis
Lineage: Eukaryota; Viridiplantae; Streptophyta; Magnoliopsida; Ericales; Theaceae
Source: RefSeq, a predicted model, not a curated record
UGCAACAAAGUUGAUUGAAAAUAUGGGGUUGAGUAAGGAGGUAAAUGGUUCAUCAGAAUAUGGAGGUGAAGAUGAGAAUGGGACGACUUUCAAUGACACUGAUCGAGCCGACACUGAUGACAACGACGAUAAUAAACCAGAGCAUCCUGGUGAAGUGUCAAAAUACGAAAGAAAUCUGGAACUUCUUAACAUCAUGACACACUCCAUUUUUUUGAGUUUUCUGUUAGGAGCACGCUCUCUCUCUCUCUCUCUCUCUCUCUCUCUCUCUCUCUCAUGUGUAUUGUGUAGAAUAUACGUACAGAAAUUUCUUAGCUUAGUUUGCAUGUCAGGGUUGAUCUGUUAUCUAGUUACAGUAUAGCCUAGUUGAUUUUGUGUAGUAUCACCAGAUGGUGCAUUUUUCGACUCUCAUUCAUAACCGUAUCUCAUUUUUUGUGCGAAUUGGACUUCAUUUCUAUUUUUUUUUUCCUUCUUGUUUUUUUUGGAUAGUGCUUUGAGCCCCACAUUUCAGGCUAUUGUCUGUAAUCUUUAUGUUUCCGUUUCCAGUUUCUUUGGUAGCCUAGAAAAUUUUCUAGAAAGUAAUUCUUUGGUGUUAGAAGCUGAAGUGGUGAGCACUAUCUUUGAAACAAAAUUGAGGAUCGUUGAGCUGCUGGAUCGCUGAUUUUGUUAUCCAGUUUUGUUUAAUUGUUAUAUACAUGCAGUUUUAAUAUCGUCCUUUUAAGAUAUUUAAUUGUUUCUUGUGCCUAUACAGCAUCACCGGGCAUUUGUGGGGGAAGAUACUGUCUCUAGUUGAUCAUCUUUGAAGUUUUCAAAGACGGAAAAUUUCAUGAUCAGAGGUCUGUGCUUGCUAUGCCAGAAAAUGGUAUUGGCUUGUUUCUAGAUGUGAGCUUUUGCAUAUGUAGCAGCCCGAACUCCAGGAAGAGGAUCAGUUGGACUGAAGUUCACAAGAUAAUGUCAACAUCGACAUUACUGAUUAGGGGAAUGCACUUGACAGAUUGGCAAAGUUUGCCUUGUCAGAAAAAAAAUUUGUUUAUAAACUGGGCCAAGCUUUUGCUACUAUCGGUAUUGCGUCAUUAGGAAUAUGGAUGUCUUCUCUGCUUUCUGCAUGAGUUUUCAAGCCUGCUGACUUUGUAAAUAAAUCCUCAUUGAUUUCCAAUAUAUUGUGUCUAGAUAUAUUAUGUAAUUGUACAUGUAUCACAUCUUAUUCAUAUUAAUAAUGUGUCUCAGAAGAAUCUGAAAUGAUUGUCAUUUUUACAUUCAUUAAAGUACUGUAUCAACUAUGCUGCAAGGAUAG